Molecule: ribosomal RNA, 2164 nt
Filed under: Campylobacter jejuni
Lineage: Bacteria; Pseudomonadati; Campylobacterota; Epsilonproteobacteria; Campylobacterales; Campylobacteraceae
Description: partial 23S ribosomal RNA
Rfam family: Bacterial large subunit ribosomal RNA
Source: RNAcentral
UAAAAAAAGGUAAGCUACUAAGAGCGAAUGGUGGAUGCCUUGACUGGUAAAGGCGAUGAAGGACGUACUAGACUGCGAUAAGCUACGGGGAGCUGUCAAGAAGCUUUGAUCCGUAGAUUUCCGAAUGGGGCAACCCAAUGUAUAGAGAUAUACAUUACCUAUAUAGGAGCGAACGAGGGGAAUUGAAACAUCUUAGUACCCUCAGGAAAAGAAAUCAAUAGAGAUUGCGUCAGUAGCGGCGAGCGAAAGCGCAAGAGGGCAAACCCAGUGCUUGCACUGGGGGUUGUAGGACUGCAAUGUGCAAGAGGUAAGUUUAGCAGAACAUUCUGGAAAGUAUAACCAUAGAGGGUGAUAGUCCCGUAUGCGAAAAACAAACCUUAGCUAGCAGUAUCCUGAGUAGGGCGGGACACGAGGAAUCCUGUCUGAAUCCGGGUCGACCACGAUCCAACCCUAAAUACUAAUACCAGAUCGAUAGUGCACAAGUACCGUGAGGGAAAGGUGAAAAGAACUGAGGUGAUCAGAGUGAAAUAGAACCUGAAACCAUUUGCUUACAAUCAUUCAGAGCCCUAUGUAGCAAUACAGGGUGAUGGACUGCCUUUUGCAUAAUGAGCCUGCGAGUUGUGGUGUCUGGCAAGGUUAAGCAAACGCGAAGCCGUAGCGAAAGCGAGUCUGAAUAGGGCGCUUAGUCAGAUGCUGCAGACCCGAAACGAAGUGAUCUAUCCAUGAGCAAGUUGAAGCUAGUGUAAGAACUAGUGGAGGACUGAACCCAUAGGCGUUGAAAAGCCCCGGGAUGACUUGUGGAUAGGGGUGAAAGGCCAAUCAAACUUCGUGAUAGCUGGUUCUCUCCGAAAUAUAUUUAGGUAUAGCGUUGUGUCGUAAUAUAAGGGGGUAGAGCACUGAAUGGGCUAGGGCAUACACCAAUGUACCAAACCCUAUCAAACUCCGAAUACCUUAUAUGUAAUCACAGCAGUCAGGCGGCGAGUGAUAAAAUCCGUCGUCAAGAGGGAAACAACCCAGACUACCAGCUAAGGUCCCUAAAUCUUACUUAAGUGGAAAACGAUGUGAAGUUACUUAAACAACCAGGAGGUUGGCUUAGAAGCAGCCAUCCUUUAAAGAAAGCGUAAUAGCUCACUGGUCUAGUGAUUUUGCGCGGAAAAUAUAACGGGGCUAAAGUAAGUACCGAAGCUGUAGACUUGCACACAACUUAGAUUAUUUAAGUUUAGAAUAUGAGAAACUAAGUUAUAUGUUUAGUUAUAUUUUUACUGAUUUUUAUAGAGUAAAGAUAGAAAUAAAACUUAGUAAAAUCAGUAAAAAUAUUCUUAGACUAAAGUUAAGUAGUUUAAGUUGUGUGCAAGUGGUAGGAGAGCGUUCUAUUUGCGUCGAAGGUAUACCGGUAAGGAGUGCUGGAGCGAAUAGAAGUGAGCAUGCAGGCAUGAGUAGCGAUAAUUAAUGUGAGAAUCAUUAACGCCGUAAACCCAAGGUUUCCUACGCGAUGCUCGUCAUCGUAGGGUUAGUCGGGUCCUAAGUCGAGUCCGAAAGGGGUAGACGAUGGCAAAUUGGUUAAUAUUCCAAUACCAACAUUAGUGUGCGAUGGAAGGACGCUUAGGGCUAAGGGGGCUAGCGGAUGGAAGUGCUAGUCUAAGGUCGUAGGAGGUUAUACAGGCAAAUCCGUAUAACAAUACUCCGAGAACUGAAAGGCUUUUUGAAGUCUUCGGAUGGAUAGAAGAACCCCUGAUGCCGUCGAGCCAAGAAAAGUUUCUAAGUUUAGCUAAUGUUGCCCGUACCGUAAACCGACACAGGUGGGUGGGAUGAGUAUUCUAAGGCGCGUGGAAGAACUCUCUUUAAGGAACUCUGCAAAAUAGCACCGUAUCUUCGGUAUAAGGUGUGGUUAGCUUUGUAUUAGGAUUUACUCCGAAAGCAAGGAAACUUACAACAAAGAGUCCCUCCCGACUGUUUACCAAAAACACAGCACUCUGCUAACUCGUAAGAGGAUGUAUAGGGUGUGACGCCUGCCCGGUGCUCGAAGGUUAAUUGAUGGGGUUAGCAUUAGCGAAGCUCUUGAUCGAAGCCCGAGUAAACGGCGGCCGUAACUAUAACGGUCCUAAGGUAGCGAAAUUCCUUGUCGGUUAAAUACCGACCUGCAUGAAUGGCGUAACGAGAUGGG